GAUGAACGCUAGCGGCAGGCCUAACACAUGCAAGUCGAGGGGCAGCACAGGAAAGUAGUAAUACUUUUGGGUGGCGACCGGCGGACGGGUGCGUAACGCGUAUACAACCUGCCUUCUACUGGAGGAUAAUUCGGAGAAAUCUGGUCUAAUACCCCAUAACAACCGAUGAGGCAUCUCAUUGGUUUAAAAGCUCCGGCGGUAGAAGAUGGGUAUGCGUGACAUUAGAUAGUUGGUGGGGUAACGGCUCACCAAGUCGACGAUGUCUAGGGGGACUGAGAGGUUACCCCCCCACACUGGUACUGAGACACGGACCAGACUCCUACGGGAGGCAGCAGUGAGGAAUAUUGGUCAAUGGACGCAAGUCUGAACCAGCCAUACCGCGUGGGUGAAGAAGGCCUUCGGGUUGUAAGGCCCUUUUGUUGGGAAAGAAAUCCAGCUGGCUAAUACCCGGUUGGGAUGACGGUACACAAAGAAUAAGCACCGGCUAACUUCGUGCCAGCCGCCGCAGUAA
This 511-nucleotide ribosomal RNA is filed under the name uncultured bacterium. RNAcentral describes it as "partial 16S ribosomal RNA". It matches the Rfam family "Bacterial small subunit ribosomal RNA", at positions 28 to 523 of the family's 1533-position model. The record is from RNAcentral.